UGGAACUGAGACACGGUCCAGACUCCUACGGGAGGCAGCAGUGAGGAAUAUUGGUCAAUGGGCGCAAGCCUGAACCAGCCAAGUCGCGUGAGGGAAGACGGCCCUACGGGUUGUAAACCUCUUUUGCCGGGGAGCAAGCCUGAGUACGUGUGCCCAGGCGGAGAGUACCCGGAGAAAAAGCAUCGGCUAACUCCGUGCCAGCAGCCGCGGUAAUACGGAGGAUGCGAGCGUUAUCCGGAUUUAUUGGGUUUAAAGGGUGCGCAGGCGGGCUGUUAAGCCGGCGGUAAAAAUUCAGGGCUCAACCCUGUCGAGCCGUCGGAACUGGCAGUCUUGAGUGGGCGAGAAGUAUGCGGAAUGCGUGGUGUAGCGGUGAAAUGCAUAGAUAUCACGCAGAACGCCGAUUGCGAAGGCAGCAUACCGGCGCCCAACUGACGCUGAGGCACGAAAGCGUGGGGAUCGAACAGGAUUAGAUACCCUGGUAGUCCACGCAGUAAACGAUGAGCGCUAACUGUCCGGAGCGAGCGAGCUCUGG
Molecule: ribosomal RNA, 532 nt
Filed under: uncultured bacterium
Lineage: Bacteria
Description: bacterial SSU rRNA
Rfam family: Bacterial small subunit ribosomal RNA
Source: RNAcentral